UUAAAUGACUGUGAUAUUUAUAUGCCUUCAUUGUGAUAUUUACACUGCUCUUUCAUUUUAAGUUUAUGAGCAUAUUUUAAAAAUGUAUUUUCUUUAAGUUGGCAGCUCGUACUGCUGAAAGAACCCUCACUGAUUUAAGGAAAGAAAAUGCUUACCACAGACAAAAAUUAACCGAAACAGAGUUUAAAUUUGAACUUUUAGAAAAAGAUCCUUACGCACUUGAUGUUCCAAAUACAGCAUUUGGCAGAGAGCAUUCCCCAUAUGGUCCCUCACCAUUUGGUCGACCUUCGUCUGAAACGAGAGCUUUUCUCUCUCCUCCAACUUUGUUGGAGGGUCCACUCAGACUCUCACCUUUGCUUCCAGGGGGAGGAGGAAGAGGUAUAUUGUUUAAACAUUUUUAUUACUCUAGGUUUCUUCCUUCCUUUGUAUUUUUAUCUUUAAAGUGAUUUGUAAGAUAAACAUUUGGAAAAUACAGGCAUUCCUUGCACUUAUUGAGG
This 497-nucleotide long non-coding RNA is filed under the name Castor canadensis (American beaver). RNAcentral describes it as "lncRNA (ENSCCNG00000031791.1)". Lineage: Eukaryota; Metazoa; Chordata; Mammalia; Rodentia; Castoridae. The record is from RNAcentral.